This 304-nucleotide ribosomal RNA is filed under the name Klebsiella pneumoniae. RNAcentral describes it as "partial 23S ribosomal RNA". It matches the Rfam family "Bacterial large subunit ribosomal RNA", at positions 1159 to 1467 of the family's 2925-position model. The record is from RNAcentral. Lineage: Bacteria; Pseudomonadati; Pseudomonadota; Gammaproteobacteria; Enterobacterales; Enterobacteriaceae.
UUGCGCCGAAAAUGUACCGGGGCUUAAGAUUACCACCGAAGCAACGGAUUGUACGCAAGUACAGGGGUAGGGGAGCGUUCCAAGGGUGAUGAAGUCAGACCGUAAGGACUGGUGGAGCGCUUGGAAGUGAUUAUGCCGGCAUGAGUAACGUUUGGAAGUGAGAAUCUUCCAUGCCGUUUGACCAAGGUUUCCUGGGCAAGGUUCGUCCACCCAGGGUUAGUCAGGACCUAAGACGAGGCCGACAGGCGUAGUCGAUGGACAACAGGUUGAUAUUCCUGUACCAGUUAAUUAGUGAUGGAAACGG